Molecule: long non-coding RNA, 1025 nt
Filed under: Numida meleagris (helmeted guineafowl)
Lineage: Eukaryota; Metazoa; Chordata; Aves; Galliformes; Numididae
Description: lncRNA (ENSNMEG00000017590.1)
Source: RNAcentral
GGUUGUUACAGCUAAUGGUGAGCUGCUCAGCAUGUUUGGGGUUCUUAAAGCUUGAAUUCUGUCCUUGGAGUGUAAAAGCCUGUGUUUCUGAAGCAAUGCUGAAAUCCCCCAUGGCAUGGAGGGGAUUGGAUGCACAGAAAACGUCUGGUGUGGAAGCUGACUGCCCUGGGACAGGAUGGGUUGGAGAUGGAGAGCUGGUUCGCCUGCCCUUUGUAAGGAAAACGUUCAGCAGGAACAACACAAGGGCCGGAGAGCAUUUUGUUUCUGUUGGAUCAGCAGUUUCCAGACAAAAACUAGUCCCUUCUAGCCAGCUUCGGUGAAUACUACCUCUGCUCCAUCAGUAAUGUUUUUUUCCCCAAGCACAAUUUAUGGGGUAUGCAUGACAAAAUAUUUCAAGAGGUUUAAAAAAAAGUUCCAAAGUAAAUGAGGAGCCAAAUCUUUAAAAGGUCUGCUCAUGCAUUUGCUGUGUGGAACUUGUGAUAUUUUAUAUCUGACUUUUCAGAGCAGUUCCUGGUAGCUCCCCCAAGAGAAGGUCAACAACUUCAAUCCACCCUUACUUGCCUUGCAGAAGAGGCACGUAAUACAAACAAAACAUGAAGUGUCCUGGUUCAAUUAAUCACUUUAUCUACUUCAGCAUUAAGCUGAAAAUACAACUUGCUAAUUCUACAGUCUUGGGAUUUGGUAAUCUGCCAAACCUGCACAAAGCAAUUUAAGCUAUCUGUCUGCAUUGUAAUCACCCAGGGGAAUUCUGGGAGAAGACAUAACCUCGGCUGAGAAAUGAUGCUGCUCUUUUCCAUGCUUAGAGACUUCAUGCCUACCUCUUAAGUCAAGAGUGUUGAAAUGCUCCUGGUAGUGGAUCAGUGUCAGCAGCUAAUGCAAGGCUGUAUCAGGACCUCUUCAGAGAACAGUGCUGAGACAUUCUUGCUAGGUAGUGAUUUCUGGCCACUGACAAAUGCCUCUGUUUCUGACCUUCAGCUCACAAAUAUCUGUCUCUCUUGGCUUAAAUCAUUUGUGUCUCCUUCAGG